GGAAUCUUCCACAAUGGGCGCAAGCCUGAUGGAGCAACACCGCGUGAGUGAAGAAGGGUUUCGGCUCGUAAAGCUCUGUUGUUAGAGAAGAACGUGCGUGAGAGCAACUGUUCACGCAGUGACGGUAUCUAACCAGAAAGUCACGGCUAACUACGUGCCAGCAGCCGCGGUAAUACGUAGGUGGCGAGCGUUAUCCGGAUUUACUGGGUGUAAAGGGCGCGUAGGCGGGGAUGCAAGUCAGAUGUGAAAUCUAUGGGCUCAACUCAUAAACUGCAUUUGAAACUGUAUUUCUUGAGUACUGGAGAGGUAGACGGAAUUCCUUGUGUAGCGGUGAAAUGCGUAGAUAUAAGGAAGAACACCAGUGGCGAAGGCGGUCUACUGGACAGCAACUGACGCUGAGGCGCGAAAGCGUGGGGAGCAAACA
RNAcentral lists this ribosomal RNA (424 nucleotides) under uncultured bacterium. Its description in RNAcentral is "partial 16S ribosomal RNA". It matches the Rfam family "Bacterial small subunit ribosomal RNA", at positions 358 to 774 of the family's 1533-position model. The record is from RNAcentral.